Molecule: transfer RNA, 71 nt
Filed under: Marmota monax (woodchuck)
Lineage: Eukaryota; Metazoa; Chordata; Mammalia; Rodentia; Sciuridae
Description: tRNA.Ala
Rfam family: tRNA
About the family: Transfer RNA (tRNA) molecules are approximately 80 nucleotides in length. Their secondary structure includes four short double-helical elements and three loops (D, anti-codon, and T loops).
Source: RNAcentral
GGGGUUGUGGCUCAGAGGUAGAGCACUCACCUAGCAUGUGCGAGGCCUUGAGUUCAAUCCACAGCACCACA